UUACAGAGCUGGAAUUGCAGAAUUCGUGGCUACUUUCUUGUUUUUGUACAUCACUAUCUUGACUGUUAUGGGUCUUAAGAGAUCUGAUAGUCUGUGUAGUUCAGUUGGUAUUCAAGGUGUUGCUUGGGCUUUUGGUGGUAUGAUCUUUGCUUUGGUUUACUGUACUGCUGGUAUCUCAGGUUAGAUUUUUUUCCUUUUCAUUUCUUGUUGUUUCUUAGUCAUUAUCUUGCUAAAGCUUGUUCCGUUUAUCUAAUAUAUAGGUAUAACAUUUUGUGGCUAAUUUUCUUUGUUUACUUUCGUUUGCUCACCAUAUUUUUAGCUUGUGGUUUAUUUACUUUGGUACUUAGACCAUACUUUUGUCAACUAAUUGAGUGUAUUCUUGAGUAAUUACCAUAAAAGAUUCAGCCUUUCCCUGUUUUAGAAGUUGAAAACAUGUUUAUUGGUUAACUUUCUGUUUUAAUUACAGGAAAUGGAGUCUUUACUCUUGCUCAAGUUUGUUCAGUUAUUUUACUAAAAGUAUAGCCUUUUGUGGUGCCAUAUUUGAGCUUGUGGUUACUUAUUUUGUAUAUCAUACUUUGUCAAGUUAUUUUUUGGAUUCUUGAGUAUACUAAGAAAAAAAAAAUCAGUUCACCUUUUACUUUUUUACUGUAAAAAUGUGACCUUUGGUGGUUGAUUCUCUUUGUUUUCCUUUUUUUUGCUCACCAUAUUUUAACUUGUGGUUACUUUACAACAUACUUUUGUCAAAUAAUUUAAUGGAUUCUUGAGUAUUUAUAAAAAUAAGAUUCAGUUUUUUCCUGUUUUAGAGGUUAUAAACAUGUUAUUGGUUUACUUUCUGUGUCUAAAUUACAAGAAUGGAGUUUUCCCUUUCAUCUUGUUUGCUCAAGCUUGUACCUUUACCUCUUUAUGCUAAAAUAUGACUUUUUGUGUGUGUGUGUGUUUUUUGAAAAGUUACCAGUCUCAAAAAAAAAAAAAAACUGUGUUUUUUAUUGUUGACAUUUUGUGGUUAUUUUCCUUUCCUUGCUCACCGUAUUUGAGCUUGUGGUUACUUAUUGUGUUGUAUAUCAUACUUUUAUCAUCUAAUUAUAUGGAUUCUUGAAUUUCCUCACAAAAAGAUUCAGUCUUUCCCUAUGUUAGAAGCUCGAAACAAGUUAUUGUUUUACUUUCUCUGUCUAAAUUACAAAAGAUGGUCUCUUUUCCUUCUUUAGUUUGGGUUUUGGACAUAUGGGGUUAAUAUUUUUUUCCCCCUCAAAAACUGAACUAUAUUUUGUUUUGAAAUGAAACAGGAGGACACAUCAACCCAGCUGUGACCUUUGGAUUGUUCUUGGCAAGGAAACUGUCCUUAACCAGAGCUAUUUUCUACAUAGUGAUGCAAUGCCUUGGUGCAAUUUGUGGUGCUGGUGUUGUGAAGGGAUUCAUGGUUGGUCCAUACCAGAGACUUGGUGGUGGUGCUAAUAUUGUUAACCCUGGUUACACCAAAGGUGAUGGCCUUGGUGCUGAAAUUAUUGGCACUUUUGUCCUUGUUUACACUGUUUUCUCAGCUACUGAUGCUAAGAGAAAUGCCAGAGACUCACAUGUUCCUGUAAGUGUUCUAUUGUAACUUCAUAUUUGACAUGCUUUUGGUUCAAAUAUCAUUACUCUUUUGUGAUAUGAAAUUGCUUAUCUUCAAAAUUUACGUGUUUGAUUUAUGUUCCAUUUGACCUGUACUUAUAAGCUUUGGUUGUACAGAAUUGGAUGUAAAUUCUGCUUGAAUCUGUUUUUUCCACUUUCUUAUAUGAAAAAUUACUUUAUGAAAAGGUUUUUUGGGGGAAGCAGAAGUUGUGGGGGUGGGUGAGUGGAUUGGUUUUAGGAUAGAGUUAACUUUUACACACUUAUUUUGGAUAACUAUAGGUGACCGUCCAUAAUAAGUGUUGUUAAUUACUUGAGAAAUAAGAGUUUAUGCAUUACUAGUCUAUAUUUUUUUUAUUAAACCAGUUAUUUAUAAGAUUUAUGACUACGACAAUAACAGCAAAACCAGUGGAAUACCAUAAGUAGGGUCUACCUUCGACUCUCGACUGAGAUAUAUGACUGCGACAACUACCUGUAAAAGUUGAGAUUAGUAACCUUGAGAAAAAGGAUAUGAGUAUAGACUAUAUAGUGUAAAAGUUAUUUACAAUGGCAGUAUAUUAUUAAAGGUAAAUUAUUUAGGACAAGUGGUCUUGCUUUUUGGUGCAGCUAAAAUAAUGUUCAUGCUAGCAUGUGGCAUGCUUGGUUUUGUCAGCAAGUGCUUUUAGUUGGUGCUGUGUGGGCACCCAUGCCAUUGAAAAAUAUGCGAUGAGUUUGGCUAAAGAUAGUGAUAUUCACGUGAAUGAGCUACUGUAGGUUUGGCUCUUUUUGUUAGAUAGAUGAAAUAAUGCAGUGAUUCUUCAUAUCAGAUGUUGUGGUCCUUGUGUUUGAAAUAAUUCUCAUCUACUCCCAAUAGGGUUUAAAAUUUAUUGUCUUACUUCUAGAAAAGUUGAGAAGGAGAGUCUUGGAGUAAUCGGUAAAGUUGUUCUCAUGUGAUCAUGAGGUCAUGAGUUUAAGCUGCAAAAACUGCCAGAUCCGAGCAUAGUGGAAGCUAGGUACACCAGGCUACUUUUUUUUUUUACAAUAAAAGUUGAGAUUUGGGUCACAAGUCAUGCUCUUUGGUUGUAGUAUGAAACAAUGAGUCCUUAACACCAAUCUAACCAAAUUAAAUGAAUAAUCAGAUGCGGGAUUACCUUGCGUGUUAUCUUUUAGGCGAGUUGACACUAUAACUUUAUACCAUUCAGCAUAUAGAAAAAAUUAUUUUUAAAAACAAGGCAUCAUUUUGAAAAAUUUGGAUGAUAUUGCAGAUUUUGGCACCACUUCCCAUUGGAUUCGCGGUGUUCUUGGUUCAUUUGGCCACCAUUCCCAUCACCGGAACUGGCAUCAACCCCGCUAGGAGUCUUGGAGCUGCGAUC
RNAcentral lists this long non-coding RNA (2957 nucleotides) under Nicotiana benthamiana. Its description in RNAcentral is "long non-coding RNA (NBEN_LNC011629)". The record is from RNAcentral. Lineage: Eukaryota; Viridiplantae; Streptophyta; Magnoliopsida; Solanales; Solanaceae.